UACGUAGGGCGCAAGCGUUGUCCGGAAUUAUUGGGCGUAAAGAGCUCGUAGGCGGCCUGUUGCGUCCGCUGUGAAAUCCCGGGGCUCAACCCCGGGCCUGCAGUGGAUACGGGCUGGCUAGAGGCAGGCAGGGGAGAACGGAAUUCCUGGUGUAGCGGUGAAAUGCGCAGAUAUCAGGAGGAACACCGGUGGCGAAGGCGGUUCUCUGGGCCAACACUGACGCUCAUGCACGAAAGCGUGGGGAGCAAACAGG
This 253-nucleotide ribosomal RNA is filed under the name uncultured bacterium. RNAcentral describes it as "partial 16S ribosomal RNA". It matches the Rfam family "Bacterial small subunit ribosomal RNA", at positions 524 to 776 of the family's 1533-position model. The record is from RNAcentral.